Molecule: long non-coding RNA, 733 nt
Organism: Ostrea edulis (European flat oyster)
Lineage: Eukaryota; Metazoa; Mollusca; Bivalvia; Ostreida; Ostreidae
Exons: 2
Source: RefSeq, a predicted model, not a curated record
AAAGUUAAUUUUUCACCAGCGACAAACCCUCCUGAUACUAUUUGAUUAACCAAUCUCAAUGCACAAAAAACACACAGAUGUAAAUAUUUUCCAAUGUAAAAAAAGUGAGAGAAAAAAAUUAUCUCGCAAUAAGUAGUCUUCACUUUUUACAUUUCUGUGUGGAAGCAGACGACACACCUGUUGCUGCUGCUGCAGAUGACUACUCAAUCACUGAUACUGGUAGACAGCUGCCUCACAGAUAUAUGUCACCAUACAAAACAGUGAAUCCUCUCACAUACCCAAUCGACUAGAUAGUGAUUCCUUGAAUCGAGGAUGUCAUGAAUUGUUGUUCCAUAUGAAAAUUCGUUAAAAAUUGCUACCAACAUGACACUUUGUUUGUAUACAGUGGACCCUCAGAUAUCCAGACGCUUCAGCUUCCGGAUAUUUUUUCUUGGAAAGAGAAUUCUUUACUGUUUUUUUGUCUUGUUUCUCUGGAAUUCUGUGUUCCAGAUCCACACAGGUUUUUAUUGUAUCACAAAAUGCUUUUUUCCACCAUAUUUUGGUUCAUUUAUCCAGAUAGUAAACUGAAACUGUUUUUAUAUGAUUUAACGCCUAAUUUUACACAGAGUAUUCAAUGGUGUUGUACAUGUAUAAUAUAAAAAGCUUUAAAAGAAUAAACAAUACAUCAUAUACAUGCAAACACACUCUAAAUCUACUAAACUAAAAACAUGUACAUUAAAACUGUCUAAACAAA